UCAACCUUCUUGGACAUGCAUGGAUGCUUUAUUUAGAAGGAAGAUGCUCGGAGUUAAUAGAUGCAUCAAUAGGGGACUCAUUCAGUCUAUCAGAAGUAGUGCGAUUAAUUCAUAUUGGGCUAUUAUGUGUUCAACAAAGUCCAGAAGACCGGCCUAACAUGUCAGAUGUGGUUCUGAUGAUGGGUGGAGAGGGUACAUUGCCUCAUCCUAAACAACCUGGGUUUUACAUUAAAAGGGAUUUGCUUGAACCUAAAUGUUCCUCCAGCAGCAGCAAAAUAUAUUCAUUCAACGAGGUCACCAUGUCUGCAUUACAGCCUCGGUAGAUGCCACUUCCAUUUUAGUGCCCUGUGUUAUGAGUAUUAGUAUGCUAUAACCAAGUCCAUUUCAUUAUGUAAUUGUUUGUCUCCUCUUAAUUUAUAGAAUCAGUUGCUGAAAAUAAGAUAGGAAUUAAGGAAUGCAGGGAUGACAACGUUAUCCCACAUCGGUUUGGAAAGACUUGACUUUGAAAAGUUAUAUCUAUAUGAGAAAGCCGAAG
This 535-nucleotide unclassified non-coding RNA is filed under the name Hevea brasiliensis (rubber tree). Lineage: Eukaryota; Viridiplantae; Streptophyta; Magnoliopsida; Malpighiales; Euphorbiaceae. The record is from RNAcentral.